Molecule: ribosomal RNA, 467 nt
Filed under: uncultured bacterium
Lineage: Bacteria
Description: partial 16S ribosomal RNA
Rfam family: Bacterial small subunit ribosomal RNA
Source: RNAcentral
ACGAACGCUGGCGGCGUGCUUAACCCAUGCACGUCGAACGGAAAGGCCCUGCUUUUGUGGGGUGCUCGAGUGGCGAACGGGUGAGUAACACGUGAGUAACCUGCCCUUGACUUUGGGAUAACUUCAGGAAACUGGGGCUAAUACCGGAUAGGAGCUCCUGCUGCAUGGUGGGGGUUGGAAAGUUUCGGCGGUUGGGGAUGGACUCGCGGCUUAUCAGCUUGUUGGUGGGGUAGUGGCUUACCAAGGCUUUGACGGGUAGCCGGCCUGAGAGGGUGACCGGCCACAUUGGGACUGAGAUACGGCCCAGACUCCUACGGGAGGCAGCAGUGGGGAAUAUUGCACAAUGGGCGGAAGCCUGAUGCAGCAACGCCGCGUGCGGGAUGACGGCCUUCGGGUUGUAUACCGCUUUCGCCUGUGACGAAGCGUGAGUGACGGUAAUGGGUAAAGAAGCACCGGCUAACUACGUG